This 253-nucleotide ribosomal RNA is filed under the name uncultured bacterium. Its description in RNAcentral is "partial 16S ribosomal RNA". It matches the Rfam family "Bacterial small subunit ribosomal RNA", at positions 524 to 776 of the family's 1533-position model. The record is from RNAcentral.
UCCGUAGGGUGCGAGCGUUAAUCGGAAUUACUGGGCGUAAAGCGUGCGCAGGCGGUUUUGUAAUCCAGAUUUGAAAUCCCCGGGCUUAACCUGGGAAUGGCAUUUGGGACUGCAAGGCUUGAGUGCGGCAGAGGAGACUGGAAUUCCUGGUGUAGCAGUGAAAUGCGUAGAUAUCAGGAGGAAUACCGAUGGCGAAGGCAGGUCUCUGGGCUGACACUGACGCUCAUGCACGAAAGCGUGGGGAGCAAACAGG